Non-coding RNA from Vicia faba (fava bean), 306 nucleotides. The record is from the annotation of a GenBank genome assembly. Lineage: Eukaryota; Viridiplantae; Streptophyta; Magnoliopsida; Fabales; Fabaceae.
UAUUUCGCACUUUUUUUUUCUUCAUUUCGACACCUUAAAAACUCUCUCUCUCUCUCUCACACACACCUUACCCUACCCUACCCUACCCUACACACAAUCACGCCACACUCCUCUCUCCUUCAAUUUUCACACACGCACCACACCACCCUUUUCUUCACGUUCUCAAUCACCACCACCACCACCAACAAAAACAAAACUCCCUCAAUCCUUUCUUCCAUACACCAAAAACAAAAACCCUCUUCUUUUACCUUAAUGUCUGUUCCAUUUUCAUCACUCACCACCACCAUUCCCCUCUUACCACCUUAA